AUGGAAAAUAAAACAGUACAUGAGAUAAACGGGAUAAAAAAUGAUAGUUUGAAUUUACUAAUGAAUAAAGAUAAAGAAAAUAAAACUAGUAGCAAUAGCAAUAGCAGUACCAACAACAACAAUAGUAGUAGUAGUAGUAGUAGUAGUAGUAAUAACACCAAACAGAAUAGUCGAAUAAAAUUAAUGGCUAUACCACAAACAGUAAAGGAUGUUAUAGAAAUAAUAAACAUAGGGAAAUUAAUUAAUAUAAAUGAUGAUAUUGCAAUAAUACAAGCAACUCCAUGUAGUAAAUAUUACAUAAGUGUAUCUUCUAUUUUAUGUUUGAAGAAUCGUAAAAUUUUUGGCUAUGUUAUUAACACAACUUCGAAUACUACCGAUGUAUUUUAUCAUGCCAAGAUUUCUUUUAAUCAUAUGAAAACCGAAUUAAAAGAAAAUAUGGAAAUAUAUGUAGAUUCCAAACAUUAUAUAUAUAUGAAUGUAGGUACAAGUUUAUGCUCUGAAUUAUUUAAAGUAAUAAACAAUCCAGAAAUACCAUGUGUUUUUAUUAAUUAUAAUGAUUUAUAUGGUAUUGCUGAUGCACAAUUAUCACAACAAAGUCAUGAUGAUGAUUUAUUAAAUAUAGAAAAUAAUAAUACCACCACAAUAAAUAAUGCGAAAACAAAUAAAAUAAAUAAAACGAAUAAAAUAAAUAAUAUAAACAAAAUAAAUAAAACAAAUAAAACGAAUAAAAUAAAUAAUAUAAACAAAACAAACAAAACAAACAAAAUAAAUAAAACAAACAAAAUAAAUAAAACAAACAAAAUAAACAAAAUAAAUAAAACAAACAAAAUAAAUAAAACAAAUAAAACAAAUAUGUUACUUCAUAAUCCGACAAAGUUACCAAUGGAACCGAUAUUAACACAUUUUGGAACUAAUACAAAUAUGCAAUUGUUUUUUACUAAUAAAAAAUAUCAUUCAUAUGAUACUACUACAAUGAAUAAAUCACAUAAUACAAAAUAUAUAAAACCAUAUAAUAACAUAGGUUAUUAUAAAAAUAAAAUAAAUGGAAAUUAUAUUAAUAAGACGUUUUUAAACGAAAAUAAAAAUCCUACAUUUUUUAAUAAUUUAUCAUAUAUAAAGGAUGCUAAAAUAAGCAAUAAAAAUAUAAAUUUUAACAAAAACUUUAUUAAUAAUAUAUCUCAUGGUAGUAUACAACAAAUGAGUAAAAUAUUAUAUAACCAUACAAAUAAUAGUGUUAUUAAUAAAAAUAAAUUAGAUGAUACAUAUAAAACCAACAGAACAAAUAAUAAUAUUAUUAAUCAUGGUAAUACAUAUAUAACAUAUAUGAAUAAACAAUUUAAUUCUAUUCCAUACAAUAUUAAUAAUAAUAUAAAUACUAGUCCAUAUUCAAAUUUUUUCAACAAAUCCAAUGGCAGCACAAUAAAUUAUACACCAAAUAUGGAAAUAAAUGGAACACCUUUAACUAAUCAUACCGUUAAUAACAUGUGCAAUAUGUGCAACAUGCAAUUAAAUCAUUACUCAAAUGUUAUAAACAGUAAUAAUAAUAGUAAUAAUAAUAACAUACCAAGUGCUUUAAAAAAUAUAAUAAAUACAUCUACUUUAAAUCUUAAUAAUAUAAAUGAUACUAUGAUUGGUAAAGUUUUGACAAAUAAUGGGCAAAUUGCAUGCAAUAUAAGAACCAAUACAAAUAUAAAUAACCAAAACAGCAACCCCUGUUUUUUUUUUACCACCAUAUAA
Molecule: long non-coding RNA, 1737 nt
Organism: Piliocolobus tephrosceles (Ugandan red Colobus)
Lineage: Eukaryota; Metazoa; Chordata; Mammalia; Primates; Cercopithecidae
Source: Ensembl